This 253-nucleotide ribosomal RNA is filed under the name uncultured bacterium. RNAcentral describes it as "partial 16S ribosomal RNA". It matches the Rfam family "Bacterial small subunit ribosomal RNA", at positions 524 to 776 of the family's 1533-position model. The record is from RNAcentral.
UACAGAGGGUGCAAGCGUUAAUCGGAAUUACUGGGCGUAAAGCGUGCGUAGUCGGUUAUCUAAGUCGGGUGUGAAAUCCCCGGGCUCAACCUGGGAAUUGCAUUCGAUACUGGAUAGCUAGAGUUCGGCAGAGGGAAGUGGAAUUUCUGGUGUAGCGGUGAAAUGCGUAGAUAUCAGAAGGAACAUCAGUGGCGAAAGCGACUUCCUGGACCAGAACUGACGAUCAGGCACGAAAGCGUGGGGAGCAAACAGG